Molecule: long non-coding RNA, 210 nt
Filed under: Vigna radiata
Lineage: Eukaryota; Viridiplantae; Streptophyta; Magnoliopsida; Fabales; Fabaceae
Description: long non-coding RNA (VRAD_LNC016870)
Source: RNAcentral
AUGGAUACUAAAGGAGAAAGAAAACGAACACACCUGGAUGGAAGUAAAAAGAACCACCACAGCAACAAACGCACCACCACGAACAAUAAGAACCCACCGCACCACCGCACCCCGCACCACCUCACCUCACCACCACUCAGAGCAAAGGUGAAGUGUGAAGGAUGAAGGAGAAUGAUGAAAGUCAGAGGAAGAGAGGCAGAUGUAUUGGGG